RNAcentral lists this ribosomal RNA (303 nucleotides) under uncultured bacterium. RNAcentral's name for it is "partial 16S ribosomal RNA". It matches the Rfam family "Bacterial small subunit ribosomal RNA", at positions 507 to 807 of the family's 1533-position model. The record is from RNAcentral.
AGCAGCCGCCGCGGUAAUACGAAGGGGGCUAGCGUUGUUCGGAUUUACUGGGCGUAAAGCGCACGUAGGCGGAUUCUUAAGUCAGAGGUGAAAUCCCAAGGCUCAACCUUGGAACUGCCUUUGAUACUGGGGAUCUUGAGUUCGGGAGAGGUGAAUGGAACUGCGAGUGUAGAGGUGAAAUUCGUAGAUAUUCGCAAGAACACCAGUGGCGAAGGCGGCUCACUGGCCCGAUACUGACGCUGAGGUGCGAAAGCGUGGGGAGCAAACAGGAUUAGAUACCCGGGUAGUCCCUGUCUCUUAUAC